Molecule: long non-coding RNA, 510 nt
Organism: Oryza sativa Japonica Group (Japanese rice)
Lineage: Eukaryota; Viridiplantae; Streptophyta; Magnoliopsida; Poales; Poaceae
Source: RefSeq, a predicted model, not a curated record
CCUCGUGUACUCUCUAUAAAUGAAACCAAGCACAGCAUCUUCCAUGGAGGACCCUUCUUCUGGAUUCCUCUCUACCCCCAACAAUGGCCUGACACCGCUGCCCUGCAUGCAACCCAUGCAGUGUUCUCACUACUUCUCAGCUUCGCCGGUGGUGUUGAAGAUGAUGCCUCAACGGCCGAUGCAGCGAAGGUAUCCACUAGGCAGGUGCUAGGCCAUGUAGGGCAACUAAACAACUUUGGCAGGUCUUCCUUCUCCAUCUCGACAAGAAGAUGGAAUUACCUUCUUCGGCACAGUCUGGAAGCAUCAGCUAGGUGCUGACCUAAAAUAGUUAUCCAUAGAUCCAUAAGUCAAUGAGCAUGCCACAGCUCUGAAGCAUAAAACAUAUAGACCUACACAAAUACUUGUCAGAAUUUAUGAGUUAUGACAAUAUGCUACUAUGAACAUGGAAACGACUAUGAUUCUCCAUUUCACCAUUUGGUUUUGAUUCCAGGAGUUAGCAUGACGACAUUA